ACACUGUACGAGUUUGAUCAUGGCUCAGAAUCAACGCUGGCGGCGUGCCUCAGACAUGCAAGUCGAACGAUUAAAGCUCUCUUCGGAGAGUGUAUAGAGUGGCGCACGGGUGAGUAACACGUAAGUAAUCUACCCUCGAGUGGGGAAUAACAACCGGAAACGGUUGCUAAUACCGCAUAAUGCAGCGGCACCGCAAGGUGACAGUUGUUAAAGAUUUAUCGCUUGAGGAGGAGCUUGCGGCAGAUUAGCUAGUUGGUAGGGUAACGGCUUACCAAGGCUACGAUCUGUAACCGGUCUAAGAGGACGGUCGGUCACACUGACACUGAAUAACGGGUCAGACUCCUACGGGAGGCAGCAGUCGGGAAUUUUGGGCAAUGGGCGAAAGCCUGACCCAGCAACGCCGCGUGAAGGAUGAAGUAUUUCGGUAUGUAAACUUCGAAAGAAUAGGAAGAAUUAAUGACGGUACUAUUUAUAAGGUCCGGCUAACUACGUG
This 493-nucleotide ribosomal RNA is filed under the name uncultured bacterium. RNAcentral's name for it is "bacterial SSU rRNA". It matches the Rfam family "Bacterial small subunit ribosomal RNA", at positions 1 to 507 of the family's 1533-position model. The record is from RNAcentral.